UCGUCGACAACAGAGUUUGAUCCUGGCUCAGGACGAACGCUGGCGGCGUGCCUAAUACAUGCAAGUAGAACGCUGAAGGAGGAGCUUGCUUCUCUGGAUGAGUUGUGAACGGGUGAGUAACGCGUAGGUAACCUGCCUGGUAGCGGGGGAUAACUAUUGGAAACGAUAGCUAAUACCGCAUAACAGUAGAUGUUGCAUGACAUUUGCUUAAAAGGUGCAAUUGCAUCACUACCAGAUGGACCUGCGUUGUAUUAGCUAGUUGGUGGGGUAACGGCUCACCAAGGCGACGAUACAUAGCCGACCUGAGAGGGUGAUCGGCCACACUGGGACUGAGACACGGCCCAGACUCCUACGGGAGGCAACAGUAGGGAAUCUUCGGCAAUGGACGGAAGUCUGACCGAGCAACGCCGCGUGAGUGAAGAAGGUUUUCGGAUCGUAAAGCUCUGUUGUAAGAGA
This 456-nucleotide ribosomal RNA is filed under the name uncultured Streptococcus sp. RNAcentral describes it as "bacterial SSU rRNA". It matches the Rfam family "Bacterial small subunit ribosomal RNA", at positions 1 to 445 of the family's 1533-position model. The record is from RNAcentral. Lineage: Bacteria; Bacillati; Bacillota; Bacilli; Lactobacillales; Streptococcaceae.